GGUGAACGCUGGCGGUAGGCCUAACACAUGCAAGUCGAACGGCAGCACAGUAAGAGCUUGCUCUUACGGGUGGCGAGUGGCGGACGGGUGGGGAAUACAUCGGAAUCUACUUUUUCGUGGGGGAUAACGUAGGGAAACUUACGCUAAUACCGCAUACGACCUACGGGUGAAAGCAGGGGAUCUUCGGACUUUGCGCGAUGGAAUGAGCCGAUGUCGGAUUAGCUAGUUGGCGGGGUAAAGGCCCACCAAGGCGACGAUCCGUAGCUGGUCUGAGAGGAUGAUCAGCCACACUGGAACUGAGACACGGUCCAGACUCCUACGGGAGGCAGCAGUGGGGAAUAUUGGACAAUGGGCGCAAGCCUGAUCCAGCCAUACCGCGUGGGUGAAGAAGGCCUUCGGGUUGUAAAGCCCUUUUGUUGGGAAAGAAAAGCAGCAGGUUAAUACCCCGCUGUUCUGACGGUACCCAAAGAAUAAGCACCGGCUAACUUCGUG
This 492-nucleotide ribosomal RNA is filed under the name uncultured bacterium. Its description in RNAcentral is "partial 16S ribosomal RNA". It matches the Rfam family "Bacterial small subunit ribosomal RNA", at positions 28 to 507 of the family's 1533-position model. The record is from RNAcentral.